CUCUUCGUAGCUCAGGUGGUAGAGCAGCUGACUCUUAAUCAGCGGGUCGUAGGUUCGAGUCCUACCGGGGAGA
This 73-nucleotide transfer RNA is filed under the name Bacteroidetes bacterium CG2_30_33_31. RNAcentral describes it as "tRNA-Lys". It matches the Rfam family "tRNA". Rfam says of the family: Transfer RNA (tRNA) molecules are approximately 80 nucleotides in length. Their secondary structure includes four short double-helical elements and three loops (D, anti-codon, and T loops). Further hydrogen bonds mediate the characteristic L-shaped molecular structure. tRNAs have two regions of fundamental functional importance: the anti-codon, which is responsible for specific mRNA codon recognition, and the 3' end, to which the tRNAs corresponding amino acid is attached (by aminoacyl-tRNA synthetases). tRNAs cope with the degeneracy of the genetic code in two manners: having more than one tRNA (with a specific anti-codon) for a particular amino acid; and 'wobble' base-pairing, i.e. permitting non-standard base-pairing at the 3rd anti-codon position. Lineage: Bacteria; Pseudomonadati; Bacteroidota. The record is from RNAcentral.